Molecule: ribosomal RNA, 253 nt
Filed under: uncultured bacterium
Lineage: Bacteria
Description: partial 16S ribosomal RNA
Rfam family: Bacterial small subunit ribosomal RNA
Source: RNAcentral
UAUAGAGGUCUCAAGCGUUGUUCGGAUUCAUUGGGCGUAAAGGGUGCGUAGGUGGCGCCGUAAGUCAGGUGUGAAAUUUCGGAGCUUAACUCCGAAACUGCAUUUGAUACUGCGGUGCUUGAGGACUGGAGAGGAGACUGGAAUUUACGGUGUAGCAGUGAAAUGCGUAGAGAUCGUAAGGAAGACCAGUGGCGAAGGCGGGUCUCUGGACAGUUCCUGACACUGAGGCACGAAGGCCAGGGGAGCAAACGGG